GUGGGGAAUAUUGCACAAUGGGGGAAACCCUGAUGCAGCAACGCCGCGUGAGUGAAGAAGGUUUUCGGAUUGUAAAGCUCUGUUAGCAGGGAAGAGGAAGGACGGUACCUGCAGAGGAAGCCACGGCUAACUACGUGCCAGCAGCCGCGGUAAUACGUAGGUGGCAAGCGUUGUUCGGAAUAACUGGGCGUAAAGGAUGCGUAGGCGGUUAAAUAAGUUAUAUGUUAAAUAUAUAGGCUUAACCUGUAGAAAGCAUAUAAAACUGUUUAACUAGAGUGCAGGAGAGGUAAGUGGAAUUCCUAGUGUAGCGGUGAAAUGCGUAGAGAUUAGGAAGAACACCAGUGGCGAAGGCGACUUACUGGACUGUAACUGACGCUGAGGCAUGAGAGCAUGGGGAGCAAACAGG
RNAcentral lists this ribosomal RNA (406 nucleotides) under uncultured bacterium. RNAcentral describes it as "bacterial SSU rRNA". It matches the Rfam family "Bacterial small subunit ribosomal RNA", at positions 354 to 776 of the family's 1533-position model. The record is from RNAcentral.